GUACUCUUUGGUUGGUGGUUUAGUCCCUACAACAAACACUGUGAGUUUAAGGAACUUGCCUGAGAUCACAGGCUGUAUAUCUUAUGGGAUUCAAGCAUGGUGCAAUUAUGAAAACUAAAACCCUAGAGGGGAUAAUAUAUCAACUAUGUCUUAGUUGCUGACAGCAUAUACAUGUGCCAACUGAAGAAGAUAUUAGUUUGG
Mus musculus (house mouse) is the source of this 201-nucleotide long non-coding RNA. RefSeq annotates it as predicted gene, 41800. The transcript has 3 exons. The record is from RefSeq and is a predicted model, not a curated record. Lineage: Eukaryota; Metazoa; Chordata; Mammalia; Rodentia; Muridae.